Molecule: transfer RNA, 75 nt
Filed under: Vampirovibrionales bacterium
Lineage: Bacteria; Bacillati; Candidatus Melainabacteria; Vampirovibriophyceae; Vampirovibrionales
Also listed under: 4 other names
Description: tRNA-Ile
Rfam family: tRNA
About the family: Transfer RNA (tRNA) molecules are approximately 80 nucleotides in length. Their secondary structure includes four short double-helical elements and three loops (D, anti-codon, and T loops).
Source: RNAcentral
GGCCCUAUAGCUCAAUGGUGGAGCAGGCGACUCAUAAUCGCUUGGUUACAGGUUCGAAUCCUGUUGGGGCCACCA